ACAAAUGGGAGUAUGGAGUGACAAGUUAGAAGCUAUGUCCACAGAUAAAUAAACAGCACAGAUUGCAAGACAGAGAAGCGCAAUCAAGAGGCAGUUAUUCUUCGUCCAUGAGAAAAAUGAAAGGGCCAGGCAGAGAAGAGUGCAUUCACUGUGCGAAAAACUUCCACUUCCACGACUGGAAGUGUGUGCCAGCCUGUGGUGAGGGGUUCUACCCAGAGGAGAUGCCGGGCUUGCCCCACAAAGUGUGUCGAAGAGUCACCAUUCUUAUUUGAUGGCCCUGGACCCUUCUGUUGUUGGACAUGAGCUGUUAAAGGAGGAGCUGUUUGCUCUGGUCUCUUCUUUUCUGGCUGAAUAUUGCCCUAUGUUGGGAGAUCAUGAACUCAGGACCCAGAACAGGGCAGGGCAACCUGUCCUAUUCAGGGUGGGAGCAACAUUGAGGAGUUUGAAGGGACCUGUGAGGGUGUGACGAUGGGGUGUGGUGAGAACUGCUUGAGCUGUGCAGGCUCCAGCAGGAACUGUAGCAGGUGUAAGACGGGCUUCACACAGCUGGGGACCUCCUGCAUCACCAACCACACGUGCAGCAACGCUGACGAGACAUUCUGCGAGAUGGUGAAGUCCAACCGGCUGUGCGAACGGAAGCUCUUCAUUCAGUUCUGCUGCCGCACGUGCCUCCUGGCCGGGUAAGGGUGUCUAGCUGCCCACAGAGGGCAGGCACUCCCAUCCAUCCAUCCGUCCGUCCACUUUCCUCCAGACUGUCGGCCAGAGUCUGUUUCAGGAGCGGCGCCCUGCACCUGACAGCUUUAUCUCGCCAGGAGCAGCAUCUCUGGGCACCCAAGCCAGGUGGGUGGUGGCUCUUAAGGAGGUGUUCCUACAAUGGUGACAUCCUCUCAAAUGCUGCUUGUUGGCUCCAGUCUUCUGACAAACUGUAACAGGAACAAAAUGAAUUCUGGGAAUCCACAGCUCUGGCUUUGGAGCAGCUUCUGGGACCAUAAGUUUACUGAAUCUUCAAGACCAAAGCAGAAAAGAAAGGCGCUUGGCAUCACACAUCACUCUUCUCCCCGUGCUUUUCUGCGGCUGUGUAGUAAAUCUCCCCGGCCCAGCUGGCAAACCCUGGGCCAUCCUCACAUGUGACAAAGGGCCAGCAGUCUACCUGCUCGUUGCCUGCCACUGAGCAGUCUGGGCACGGUUUGGUCAGACUAUAA
This 1202-nucleotide small RNA is filed under the name Pan troglodytes (chimpanzee). Its description in RNAcentral is "processed transcript". The record is from RNAcentral. Lineage: Eukaryota; Metazoa; Chordata; Mammalia; Primates; Hominidae.